Molecule: non-coding RNA, 172 nt
Filed under: human oral metagenome
Description: glmS glucosamine-6-phosphate activated ribozyme
Rfam family: glmS glucosamine-6-phosphate activated ribozyme aptamer
About the family: This entry contains a glucosamine-6-phosphate activated ribozyme that is found in the mRNA for GlmS. GlmS is an enzyme that uses fructose-6-phosphate and glutamine to generate glucosamine-6-phosphate. The ribozyme catalyses self cleavage of the glmS mRNA that is thought to regulate GlmS activity.
Source: RNAcentral
AAUUAAAAAGCGCCAGAUCUUAAUUUUAAAUAUAAAAAUUAUAUUAAAUAUAAAAAUUAUAUUAAAUAUAAGAUGACGAGGAAAAAGAGUUAUCGAAAAUUCGGCGGAUGCUCUUUAGGUUAUCACAACCUUAAUAAUACACAAAACUAUUAAGAAAUUAUAGCACAAAAGU